UGCUUCUUCUCUCUUCUAAAAUCUAAAAGUCUCAUUGGUCAGCUCUGGUGGCUUAGACAACAUAGGAGCAGAUCCUUUCGUUCUAUGCUUAGCUGGGUUUAUCAAUCGAUUUACUUUCAGAUGGUGUCGAUCUUGUCUGGUCGGCUGCAGGGUUUAUGUUUUAUCUAUCUUGCACAUCUGUUGUUUGGUCUUUGAUUCAGAGUAGUUGUGCCAUGCCAGUACUUGGUUAAUUCUAGGCUUGUUCUUUACUUGUCUCUACUUCAACAACGGUGAUAGCGUUGUCUUAGUAUUGGCGUGGUAGUGUGUUGUGAGCAGAAAAAGUCAAACAUCAAUCAUGUAGAAGAAAUUGGUUUCCUGACAUUUCUCCAUCUCCAGUUUGGAAGGAGCCAUGCUCUCAGUCUUUUAAUAAGUGAUCCUCCCAAUUUAUUUUCAUCCUCUCUCGUUUCUAGUGCUCAGUUCUUGGCAUCGUUCCCUCUCUUGUGUACUCUCAAUGCAUGAUUGCCAGCUGAUCAAAGAUUUUUGAUUUCUUUCUAUUAUCUUCAUCAAGUAGUGUUUAUGGCUUUUAUUUGAAGAUCUUUAGCUAUCGUUUUAGUUUUUGGUUUAGUCCUAGUCUCUUUUGUUUGGGAGUACGUUUUCCUUUUUUGGGCUAUGUUUCCAGAGAUUUCAAUGUGUUUAUUCAUGUACGUGGCUUUUGUAUCUUUGUUUUUCUCCUGUUAUCAAUUAAAUUGAGAUGACCAAAACAAAA
Molecule: long non-coding RNA, 745 nt
Organism: Brassica oleracea var. oleracea
Lineage: Eukaryota; Viridiplantae; Streptophyta; Magnoliopsida; Brassicales; Brassicaceae
Exons: 2
Source: RefSeq, a predicted model, not a curated record